Molecule: non-coding RNA, 30 nt
Filed under: Rattus norvegicus (Norway rat)
Lineage: Eukaryota; Metazoa; Chordata; Mammalia; Rodentia; Muridae
Source: RNAcentral
UGACAGGUGGAUACUUUUUGUACCCCAUGA